GGGGAUUCGCUAUUAGAUGAGCCUAUGUCGGAUUAGCUAGUUGGUGGGGUAAUGGCCUACCAAGGCAGUGAUCUGUAGCUGGUCUGAGAGGAUGAUCAGCCACACUGGAACUGAGACACGGUCCAGACUCCUACGGGAGGCAGCAGUGGGGAAUAUUGGACAAUGGGCGCAAGCCUGAUCCAGCUAUGCCGCGUGAGUGAGGAAGGCCUUAGGGUUGUAAAACUCUUUCAGUAGGGAAGAUAAUGACGGUACCA
This 254-nucleotide ribosomal RNA is filed under the name Anaplasma phagocytophilum. RNAcentral describes it as "partial 16S ribosomal RNA". It matches the Rfam family "Bacterial small subunit ribosomal RNA", at positions 209 to 480 of the family's 1533-position model. Lineage: Bacteria; Pseudomonadati; Pseudomonadota; Alphaproteobacteria; Rickettsiales; Anaplasmataceae. The record is from RNAcentral.